This 590-nucleotide ribosomal RNA is filed under the name uncultured archaeon. RNAcentral describes it as "bacterial SSU rRNA". It matches the Rfam family "Archaeal small subunit ribosomal RNA", at positions 319 to 909 of the family's 1478-position model. The record is from RNAcentral.
GGCCCUACGGGGUGCAGCAGGCGCGAAAACUUUACAAUGCUGGCAACAGCGAUAAGGGAACCUCGAGUGCCAGGUUACAAAUCUGGCUGUCGAGAUGCCUAAAAAGCAUUUCAUAGCAAGGGCCGGGCAAGACCGGUGCCAGCCGCCGCGGUAACACCGGCGGCUCGAGUGGUAACCGUUAUUAUUGGGUCUAAAGGGUCUGUAGCCGGCCGGAUAAGUCUCUUGAGAAAUCUGGCAGCUUAACUGUCAGGCUUUCAGGAGAUACUGUCUGGCUCGAGGCCGGGAGAGGUGAGAGGUACUUCAGGGGUAGGGGUGAAAUCUUGUAAUCCUUGAAGGACCACCAGUGGCGAAGGCGUCUCACCAGAACGGACCUGACGGCAAGGGACGAAAGCUAGGGGCACGAACCGGAUUAGAUACCCGGGUAGUCCUAGCCGUAAACGAUACUCGCUAGGUGUCGGCCACGGUGCGACCGUUGUCGGUGCCGUAGGGAAGCCGUGAAGCGAGCCACCUGGGAAGUACGGCCGCAAGGCUGAAACUUAAAGGAAUUGGCGGGGGAGCACCACAACGGGUGGAGCUUGCGGUUUAAUUGG